RNAcentral lists this unclassified non-coding RNA (185 nucleotides) under uncultured Russula. RNAcentral describes it as "sequence contains ITS1". Lineage: Eukaryota; Fungi; Basidiomycota; Agaricomycetes; Russulales; Russulaceae. The record is from RNAcentral.
UCGUAUGACGGAGGUGCCGGGGCUGUCGCUAACUUUGUGCACGCCCUGGUGCUCUCUCGCAAAAUCCAUCUCACCCCCUUUGUGCAUCACCGCGUGGGUGCUCUCCUUUUCGGGAGGGCUCGCGUUUUCACACAAAACUCGAUACAGUGUAGAAUGUUUACUUUUGCGGUCGCACGCAAUCAAUA